CUGUCCAGGUGGUACUAGGUGGUGGUCAGGAUGCAUCAGCUGUCACCACAACUGAUCAUCGUGCUGGGAAAUUCGAAGCCAAAUUCUAUGACGAGGUUCUUCAGGAAGAGAUUGGAGGUGUUAAAGGGCAUUUUGGACCUAUAAAUGCUUUGGCUUUCAAUCCUGAUGGAAAGAGUUUCUCAAGUGGAGGUGAGGAUGGUUACGUACGUCUACAUCACUUUGACUCAGAUUACUUCAACAUCAAGAUUUAGGUUGCAGCAUACUUUGAUAUCAAUUCUCACUUUGGAGCGUGCUGGAAAAGCUAUUUCGCCCUUUCCCAAACCAUCUGUUUCCAGCAAUUUUUUUUGUAGUUCUGGUAUUGGGAUUAAACAACCAUGUUCUGUAUUUGUUCAAGAAGUACUGUGUUACAUUCUUUCAUUUUCUGUUGUUAGAGCAUUUCCACUCAUUGGCCAUGGCAAAAGGCAAGGAGAGGUAAGGGUUGGUACUAUUCAUAUGAGUAUUGCUUGCUCUAGAAAUUUUUUGUUGGUUUUUCACCCUUUGCCAUGGCAAC
This is a long non-coding RNA of Prunus mume (Japanese apricot), 550 nucleotides long. RefSeq lists it as uncharacterized. NCBI's taxonomy places the organism in Eukaryota, Viridiplantae, Streptophyta, Magnoliopsida, Rosales, Rosaceae. The record is from RefSeq and is a predicted model, not a curated record.